Molecule: long non-coding RNA, 1250 nt
Organism: Nicotiana attenuata
Lineage: Eukaryota; Viridiplantae; Streptophyta; Magnoliopsida; Solanales; Solanaceae
Exons: 7
Source: RefSeq, a predicted model, not a curated record
UCCAGUUUAUUGACAAAAACUUCAGCCCACCAUUCUAUAUCUUUCAUACUCUAUUCUCUUCUUCAAAUCAACCGUAACCCUUCUCUCAUAUCUAUACAUGUUUAUUAAUUGAUGAGUAUGUUUUGCAACUCGACCGGGCAGAUGAAUUUUAAGCAUAUGAGUUCUCAUUUCCUCAAUUUGCGAAUGAAAAUUACUGAGUUGGGUUUUCACGAUUAGGUUAGGGUUUGGCUUUAAUGUUUGUGGAGGGAUAUAUCUUUGGGUUCCGGCAAUUGAAAGGAGAAAAUUGAAUAUGCCAUUGUAGUUGAUUUCCCAAAAUCCGAUUCAGGUGGGAUAGUUUCCAUGGCAGAACAAGCAUUCAAAAGGAAUUGGUGCAUCCCUUGCUUCUUUCCCAGUGGAGAAACUAAAAACUUAUAAUUGUGCUUGCGGAUGGUAAUAAGAUCUCCCCCUCUGAAUUUGAAGAACUUUUACAUUUCAAUUCUCUUGCUAUUGUUAACCAACCAGCUCCUUCUUCACACAAUUUCUCAUCUACAAAGCUCACAAUAUUAUGUCAGGUUCGUAAAUUAGUCAUUAUCUUAUGCAGUUUUCCCAUUAAAUCGUGUUGCUCCUGCAUUUGACGCUAAUGUCAUCAAAAAUAUAGGAGGCAAGAGCUUUUGCUGUUGUUGGAGUAUACAAACAAGAUAUGGUAAGCAAGAUGGCAAAAGAGCUACAAAGUCAUGGCAUGAAGAGAUUAGUAGUUGUUCAUUCUGAAGGUUUACAUUAAAUGAGUCCUUUGGAUCUGGAGCAGUCCUUGAUGUUACACCUAAAAAGAUUAAAAAAUUCUCCUCUAACCCAUUUGAUUUUGUAUACCUCGCUGCACUUUAUAGAACCUGCAAGAGAGAGCCAAUGUACAAUCUUGAGAUACUAAGGCGUGUGCUUUCAGGUGAAAGAAAAGGGGCCAAUGGAAUGAUGUGUGAAGUAUUUGAUGCUAUUCUGUUGAGAGAUUGUCAUUGGGUGAGACUAGCAUGAUAAGCUCGAGUGCAAUAAAAGGAUGAUGAAGUUGAGCUACGGUUUUAUUGAUUCUCUCAAUACUUGGUCGAUGAUUUGUCCACAAGAAAAUCGAGAAAUUAUGCAAUUUUUUUUGGUUGAUUAUUACUUGAUUUCUUAAGAAAAUGGGAAUACCCUAUUUUGGAUCUCAAGCAUACUUUCAAGGAUGACUUUUUCAAGCUAUUUUUCGGUCAUUAUAUUUGUCAUUGCAAAUUUUUUAUUUGCUA